GCCGGAGUAGCUCAGUGGUAGAGCGGCGCUUUUGUAAAGCGCGGGUCGUCGGUUCAAAUCCGACCUCCGGCUCAA
This 75-nucleotide transfer RNA is filed under the name Candidatus Adlerbacteria bacterium RIFCSPHIGHO2_01_FULL_54_23. Its description in RNAcentral is "tRNA-Thr". It matches the Rfam family "tRNA". Rfam says of the family: Transfer RNA (tRNA) molecules are approximately 80 nucleotides in length. Their secondary structure includes four short double-helical elements and three loops (D, anti-codon, and T loops). Lineage: Bacteria; Candidatus Adleribacteriota. The record is from RNAcentral. RNAcentral also lists the same sequence under 1 other name.